AGCGGUAACAGAUCCAGCUUGCUGGAUGCUGACGAGCGGCGGACGGGUGAGUAAUGCAUAGGAAUCUGCCCGAUAGUGGGGGAUAACCUGGGGAAACCCAGGCUAAUACCGCAUACGUCCUACGGGAGAAAGGGGGCUCCGGCUCCCGCUAUGGGAUGAGCCUAUGUCGGAUUAGCUAGUUGGUGAGGUAACGGCUCACCAAGGCCACGAUCCGUAGCUGGUCUGAGAGGAUGAUCAGCCACAUCGGGACUGAGACACGGCCCGAACUCCUACGGGAGGCAGCAGUGGGGAAUAUUGGACAAUGGGGGCAACCCUGAUCCAGCCAUGCCGCGUGUGUGAAGAAGGCCCUCGGGUUGUAAAGCACUUUCAGCGAGGAAGAACGCCUAGCGGUUAAUACCCGCUAGGAAAGACAUCACUCGCAGAAGAAGCACCGGCUAACUCCGUGCCAGCAGCCGCGGUAAUACGGAGGGUGCAAGCGUUAAUCGGAAUUACUGGGCGUAAAGCGCGCGUAGGUGGCUUGAUAAGCCGGUUGUGAAAGCCCCGGGCUCAACCUGGGAACGGCAUCCGGAACUGUCAAGCUAGAGUGCAGGAGAGGAAGGUAGAAUUCCCGGUGUAGCGGUGAAAUGCGUAGAGAUCGGGAGGAAUACCAGUGGCGAAGGCGGCCUUCUGGACUGACACUGACACUGAGGUGCGAAAGCGUGGGUAGCAAACAGGAUUAGAUACCCUGGUAGUCCACGCCGUAAACGAUGUCGACCAGCCGUUGGGUGCCUAGCGCACUUUGUGGCGAAGUUAACGCGAUA
This 800-nucleotide ribosomal RNA is filed under the name Halomonas sp. RNAcentral describes it as "bacterial SSU rRNA". It matches the Rfam family "Bacterial small subunit ribosomal RNA", at positions 65 to 862 of the family's 1533-position model. Lineage: Bacteria; Pseudomonadati; Pseudomonadota; Gammaproteobacteria; Oceanospirillales; Halomonadaceae. The record is from RNAcentral.